Long non-coding RNA from Apis laboriosa (Himalayan honeybee), 619 nucleotides. RefSeq lists it as uncharacterized. NCBI's taxonomy places the organism in Eukaryota, Metazoa, Arthropoda, Insecta, Hymenoptera, Apidae. The transcript has 4 exons. The record is from RefSeq and is a predicted model, not a curated record.
AAAAAAGAAGAUUAAAAAAUAUUUGCAAUUAUUAACGGCAUUUUCUCUCUGAAGUGUUUGAUGCUCGUUCCAGCAACCAAUAACUGUAUUAUUCACGAGACCGAAGAAAAGGAUGCCAUUUUUCGAUAUUGCUUUAGCGGUUGAUUGAGUGUUGAAAAUAUUUUGGACUCUGAAAUUAAUAAAAAUGUGGAAUUAAGCAAAAAUAUAUAGAAGCAAGAUGAUAGUGUGAUGGAGACAACUUGAAACAAUCUGGAUAUUCUUAAUCAAAAAGAGAGGACUGUAAUAAGGACUGUUCGUCAUGGGAUUAAGUGCAUUUCCAUCUUGUACAGUGAAACUUUCUCCUUCAAUCGUCAUUUUGGUAUAUCUGGGAUCGUAAUCGAAUGUGUUGGAAGUCAAUCGAUGGAAAGAAUCGUCGGAAUUUUGGUAGACGAUUAAAUCAUCACCACUAUGGUUUGCUACAUACACCUAUAUCAUUAUUAUCACAAGUAUUCAUAGGAUCCAUAGCUUGAAGAACUAAAGAUACUAAUCCUCCGUUUCCUAUGGUGGUAUUUACGGCAAUAUCGUGCACUAUCUCGACUUGUUUGAGCAAUGGUGAAGUAUUGAGAUCAAAGGCAAGCAA